Molecule: non-coding RNA, 573 nt
Filed under: Pongo abelii (Sumatran orangutan)
Lineage: Eukaryota; Metazoa; Chordata; Mammalia; Primates; Hominidae
Source: RNAcentral
UCUUUCAUGACCAACUCCAACCGACAAGUACACGCCCCUUCUCGCACUCCACUAGCUAGUAAACUGAGCUACAAGGUGUGCCAGGCACCCAGGACGCCGAUUCACCGCUUCAGUGAAGGCCCAGCUCAAAUGCCACCUCUUCCAUGAAGACUUCCGUGAUCCACAAUGAUAGCAUCUCCAGCAAUUGCUUCUAUAAUAAAUAGCAUGAGUCAUUCUGCAGGAUAUUGAUCUUCCUUUUUUUACUCCUAGACUGAAUUUUUCCACCACCUGGAUGAACAUAGCAGAAAGAACAUAGUGUUUUAGAGUCAGACACAAUAGGAAUCAGGCACUUUGGAAUCUUGGCUCUGCCACCUUUGAGCUGUGCAUCCCAAAAGCCCUCUUUCUUCCAUUCACUUACUUGUCUAGUCAAACACCCAUCAGACCUUUGCCAGGUGUCCAGCCUGGGCACUAUGUUUCAAAAAAUGAUGCACAUAGCAUCCCUAACUGAAAGGAGAUCACAGCUCAUUUGGUACAAAGUGCUUUUAGCCUGGGUAGGAGCUGGAGAGAUGUGAAAAUGUGGAAAGCAAGCCUAAG